UACGUAGGGUGCGAGCGUUAAUCGGAAUUACUGGGCGUAAAGCGUGCGCAGGCGGUUUUGUAAGUCAGAUGUGAAAUCCCCGGGCUUAACCUGGGAAUGGCAUUUGGGACUGCAAGGCUCGAGUGCGGCAGAGGAGACUGGAAUUCCUGGUGUAGCAGUGAAAUGCGUAGAUAUCAGGAGGAACACCGGUGGCGAAGGCGGGUCUCUGGGCCGAUACUGACGCUGAGGAGCGAAAGCGUGGGGAGCGAACAGG
RNAcentral lists this ribosomal RNA (253 nucleotides) under uncultured bacterium. RNAcentral's name for it is "partial 16S ribosomal RNA". It matches the Rfam family "Bacterial small subunit ribosomal RNA", at positions 524 to 776 of the family's 1533-position model. The record is from RNAcentral.